CCACGGCGCAGACGGACCCGGUGGAAACUGGGGGCGGACUGCUGUGUUUGGCCUGCCGCUCAGAUGAUCAACUUCUACUUCCUCUCACCCCAAUUCCGAGUUGUGUAUAUCAACUUUGUCACUUUAGGCUGGGACACCUACCUGUCGUACUUGAAACACAGAGAUGACAGCCCCCACACUGAGCCUUUAUCAGACGGCAGUGCUGUGGAUGUACAGCAGGAAGCACUCCCACCGUCUAAACCUCUGGAGAAGAAGAAUAAUUAGAGUUGGACUGAAUGCUUGACUCUUAUGUCAUAUAUAUAUAUAUAUAUAGGAGGCCAAGAAUAUUUUGCUGUUUUUAUCAAACUUAUUUUUCGGCCUUUGCAAAAUUGCAAUACUGAACACAAAACAGAUUUAUUUCUUCUCAAACAAAUGGCUCCUCUCUCAAGUUUAAAACGACCACCUGUUCCUGCAUGAACUCAGAGGAGUUUUGGAUGCUAAAGUGGAAGUGCUGGAACACUUUUUUUAUUUAUAUCUGAAUGAUAUGCACUCCUUUAAGAAUAUUCAGGGAAGAAAAGCUGCUUUACUGCCUGUCAUGCGAUUUCCUCAGAUGGCAUGAGUGUAACCGCCGCCAUUAACAUGUCAUAACAUGGAUGGAGGGGUCAAACAAACACAACAGAAGCUGACCACUUUGUUUCCAGUGUGUUCCAGACAUCAACUCUGACAUAUUAGUGUACUUAAAUUACAUGAUACUUUUUUACAUAAUGUUAUUUUGACCUAACUAUCAUCUUUCCAUACCUAAUCAAGUCGUAAGAAUUGACAACAUUGCCCUGUUUUAAACGCGAAAUGUUCAUAUGUAUGUAACAACAUGUUGGUAUUGAGAACAUGACGUUAAACGACACGAGGUAAAAUGCGUUCAAUGACACGGUAAAUGUUGUUUAAGCAGCACGCUUUACGCCUUACCAUGAGCUCAUGUUGCGUUUUUAGUGUGAAGCUUUUGUGAAGAUUUCAACUGUCAAAUUUCCAAUAGAGUGGCAUUCCUUUAUAUUUUUUAUAUUUCUCGUUUGACAUAAAAUAUAAAACAGCUAUGAUUUUAUUAUCAUAUUUACGUGUGCUAUCCUUGCCUUAAUAUGUAGACUGGUGCUACAACAUGUUUUCAUGCCAAAUAACCCUGUCUGCAGUUACUCCCUUUGAGGUACCGAUAAAAAUACCUCACUUUGUGAUUACGCUCAUAUUCUAUAAAAUAAAAUAUUUACUAAAUUGUUAUCAUAUCAAACUGAUUCCUCAGAUAAAUGUGUGGACUUGAUUCAAGACACGCUGAAGAUGUGGAAUUCAUUUAUUUUUCAAACUGCAGUGUUUUUUACUAUAUCGAUGUGUGACUUGAUGAACUGUACUGUAACUCUACAGCUGUUGAUUUAUGAAUGAAGCACUCUUAGUUUUGGCAUAUCAGGUGAAUAAUCAGUAUUUUUGUUGAUAGACAUGAUGUUGACAUGAAAGUGGAAAUCUGUGAAGCAAUACUGUAAAUAUAUUUAAUUUCUUUGUUCAAAUCA
Notothenia coriiceps (black rockcod) is the source of this 1529-nucleotide long non-coding RNA. RefSeq lists it as uncharacterized. NCBI's taxonomy places the organism in Eukaryota, Metazoa, Chordata, Actinopteri, Perciformes, Nototheniidae. The record is from RefSeq and is a predicted model, not a curated record. The transcript has 3 exons.